Molecule: ribosomal RNA, 253 nt
Filed under: uncultured bacterium
Lineage: Bacteria
Description: partial 16S ribosomal RNA
Rfam family: Bacterial small subunit ribosomal RNA
Source: RNAcentral
UACGGAGGGUGCAAGCGUUGUCCGGAUUUAUUGGGUUUAAAGGGUGCGUAGGUGGGCAGUUAAAUCAGUGGUGAAAUCUCCGGGCUCAACCCGGAAACUGCCAUUGAUACUAUCUGUCUUGAAUAUCGUGGAGGUAAGCGGAAUAUGUCAUGUAGCGGUGAAAUGCUUAGAUAUGACAUAGAACACCAAUUGCGAAGGCAGCUUACUACCCGAAUAUUGACACUGAGGCACGAAAGCGUGGGGAUCAAACAGG